AAAAAAAAUGGAGUUCCAUAUAUUAAUUCUGAUGGUAGACCAUUCUUAAUCUGUCCAAGAGGAAAAGUAUGGACAUUCUGAGAGACAAACAAGCAUAAAAGCCUUUGCGACUUGAAAUAUAGUGAUUUUCUGCUUUUACAGAGUGCUGAUAUCUGCAGCCCAUUGCCAAGUGCUCCUAUAGAAUUUAGUUUCAUAAGACUACUCAGCAACUACCAAAUUUGUAAAAACUACAAUAAUACUUGGAAAUAAAAAAGAUAGGAUUGAUUGGUUAUAUAGUAUUAUACCAUGUAAGUGGAACGCUGAAAGUUCCUUUUGUACUUAUCUGGCCAUUAUUGAACCUUUCAUUCACUUCAGAAGCCACUCGGUUUUGAAAGGUGCAGCAAAUUAACAGACCAUGAGCCACAAUAACUGAAAAAGAGGAGAAAGAGAAUGGCACAGAAUAAUUGAAAAUUAGAGCAUAAUUUUCUAGGGUAAAGCAGUGGAGCAGUUGGAGGCCUUAUACUAAUCCUUAUACUCCCACUGUAACGAUGCUUCCGUUGUGCUGCUGCGUAAACCACAUACGUUUAAUUUCUGUUUAUAGGCUUUGAUUGAAGAAUACCACACUUGUUAAAUAUGUGUUCUAGUCUUCAUUGAGGUUGAAUUUCAGGCUGCCAUUUAUGAUUUGAUGAGGUAUCCAGACAGUGAUCCUAGGCAGUGAGAGUCUAUAGGAGGUUUUUAAAAGAAAGGAGCAAUAAUCAUGUUCUAUCAAGUCAAGAGGGUGCUAUUGCUCCUUUCUUUUAUAGAUACUUUGACUUUAUAAAGACUAAAAAAAAAAACCUCAAGAUAAUCAAUCUAGAGACCAAGUGAUGUAACCCGAUUAAUGAUAGAUGCAACAGCUUUGCUAUGACAACUUCAGUAGUAAUAUCAAAUUUAGAUACUCUGUCUUUAUAGAGACAAAAAUAGCCCUCAAGACUAAUUGAUUUAGAGAUCAUUUGAUGUUACCUGACAGCUUUGCUUUGACAACUUCAGUAGUAAUGACCACCAUUUUUCUCCAUCAUUGCUCCAUGUCUAAUCUUCCUCCUUGGAUUUGUUUCAUCUUUUUCUUCUGCAAA
This 1091-nucleotide long non-coding RNA is filed under the name Nicotiana benthamiana. Its description in RNAcentral is "long non-coding RNA (NBEN_LNC016015)". The record is from RNAcentral. Lineage: Eukaryota; Viridiplantae; Streptophyta; Magnoliopsida; Solanales; Solanaceae.